UACGUAGGGUGCGAGCGUUAAUCGGAAUUACUGGGCGUAAAGCGUGCGCAGGCGGUUUUGUAAGCCAGAUGUGAAAGCCCCGGGCUUAACCUGGGAAUGGCAUUUGGGACUGCAAGGCUGGAGUGUGGCAGAGGAGACUGGAAUUCCUGGUGUAGCAGUGAAAUGCGUAGAUAUCAGGAGGAAUACCGACGGCGAAGGCAGGUCUCUGGGCUGACACUGACGCUCAUGCACGAAAGCGUGGGGAGCAAACAGG
Molecule: ribosomal RNA, 253 nt
Filed under: uncultured bacterium
Lineage: Bacteria
Description: partial 16S ribosomal RNA
Rfam family: Bacterial small subunit ribosomal RNA
Source: RNAcentral